AGAGUUUGAUCCUGGCUCAGGAUGAACGCUGGCGGCGUGCCUAAUACAUGCAAGUCGAGCGAACGGACGAGAAGCUUGCUUCUCUGAUGUUAGCGGCGGACGGGUGAGUAACACGUGGAUAACCUACCUAUAAGACUGGGAUAACUUCGGGAAACCGGAGCUAAUACCGGAUAAUAUUUUGAACCGCAUGGUUCAAAAGUGAAAGACGGUCUUGCUGUCACUUAUAGAUGGAUCCGCGCUGCAUUAGCUAGUUGGUAAGGUAACGGCUUACCAAGGCAACGAUGCAUAGCCGACCUGAGAGGGUGAUCGGCCACACUGGAACUGAGACACGGUCCAGACUCCUACGGGAGGCAGCAGUAGGGAAUCUUCCGCAAUGGGCGAAAGCCUGACGGAGCAACGCCGCGUGAGUGAUGAAGGUCUUCGGAUCGUAAAACUCUGUUAUUAGGGAAGAACAUAUGUGUAAGUAACUGUGCACAUCUUGACGGUACCUAAUCAGAAAGCCACGGCUAACUACGUGCCAGCAGCCGCGGUAAUACGUAGGUGGCAAGCGUUAUCCGGAAUUAUUGGGCGUAAAGCGCGCGUAGGCGGUUUUUUAAGUCUGAUGUGAAAGCCCACGGCUCAACCGUGGAGGGUCAUUGGAAACUGGAAAACUUGAGUGCAGAAGAGGAAAGUGGAAUUCCAUGUGUAGCGGUGA
This 694-nucleotide ribosomal RNA is filed under the name Staphylococcus aureus VET0316R. Its description in RNAcentral is "bacterial SSU rRNA". It matches the Rfam family "Bacterial small subunit ribosomal RNA", at positions 8 to 684 of the family's 1533-position model. The record is from RNAcentral. Lineage: Bacteria; Bacillati; Bacillota; Bacilli; Caryophanales; Staphylococcaceae.